Molecule: long non-coding RNA, 540 nt
Filed under: Hordeum vulgare
Lineage: Eukaryota; Viridiplantae; Streptophyta; Magnoliopsida; Poales; Poaceae
Description: long non-coding RNA (HVUL_LNC007223)
Source: RNAcentral
CGUUGCGCUCAUAUUUUUACAUUUCGUCUUUAUACCUCAAAUACAAUUAUGUUCUCAUCCAGAUCAAUGUGGAAACAUAUUCAUCAUCUGGGAACUAGACCAUAAGUACUACUCCAAAACUGGGAGAUUCCUCCGUUUUCAUCUAUUUACUUCAAUUUUCAUCUUAUAUGUUACCAUUUGUGUUUGCAUCCAAGCUCUUUGGUCAAAUUUUCUAUUCAUUACUUAUGUAUCCACAUUCAAUAUCAGAUGUUGCAUUAAAGUAUGACUCUCCGAGAURCCCCCYYCCCACUUGCCUGUAACAAUGAGUUUAUUACUUCUACAAAAAAUAGGCCAAGAGAAGUUCAGUUCAACCUAGGCAUACAAUUUCUGAAUAUGGUAAAGCUGGAGAUAGAAAAAAUAAUCACUUCUAAUGCACCCAGUGGCCCUCUGCUAUGUUUCCUAUACAGCUGGUUACAUUCCACCCGAGGUUUAUUCAGCAAACAUGUUUCAUGUCUGGAUUUGUAAUGUGUGAAAUAAUUCUACAUGACAGUUUCAUGGAAG